Molecule: long non-coding RNA, 855 nt
Organism: Eupeodes corollae
Lineage: Eukaryota; Metazoa; Arthropoda; Insecta; Diptera; Syrphidae
Exons: 2
Source: RefSeq, a predicted model, not a curated record
CACUUCGAAAAAUUUCCCCCUAUUGUGAACUUUUUUUUCGGGUGGAACUUCAAGUCUUUGACAACUCUUUUUUUCACUCAAAAUUUGGCGGCGGAAAAGGACAACUUUGGCGAAAAAUGAGUAAAACAACAAAUAGAAGGCAAUGCGAGUUGAAUAUCUUAUACGUACGAGUAAAACAUUCAAACUGAAUUUGCCUUUCCUGUUAUAAAAAAGGUGUUUGUUGUGUGAUGGCGAUAUAAUGUUGACAUGUGUUCCAUCUACACAUCCUAUUAUGCUUGGCAUAUUGAAUUUCAUGAAGAAAUCUUGGCUGAUUCUUCUACAUUCGUUUUGUGUUGGCCACUUUAUCCAUUCUGGACAAAGCCUCUCCUCCAAUACGUUCAACACUUCAGCCAUAAUAAGGUUUACAGAUGGUUGUGCCAACCCAACUUCAUGGUCCUUCCCAACUCCCUUUUGGUACCCGCCCUCCGCAAGGAAACGUAAGGUGGCUGCAAGUUUUAUAAUUGGGGGCACACCAAAUUUUUGUUUUACUGGGGGCAAGGAACUGGAAAGAACAUCCAACAAAUAUUUGAAGGCUUCUUUAUUUACUCGAUAGUGUUGAUGAAAUCUGAAAAAAAAGUUUGAUUCGUAAUCUACAUUUAUAUUCACAAAUUCUUUACAUGAAACUUAUUACUUACAAUGGCUCACGCAACUCCAAAGGGUUUGAAGAAUCUCUGAGUUGUCUUCUGAUUGAUUUUUGUUUUUGUUUUUCUUCCUCAUCAUUAAUCAUUUCCCUCAGGGCUAUGCUAUACAUGUUGCUAAAGUAAAAUAUAAAAACAAUUCUAAACAAUUUGUGUAAUAAAAUAUCAUACUGUUCAA